UACGGGAGGCAGCAGUGGGGAAUAUUGCACAAUGGGCGCAAGCCUGAUGCAGCCAUGCCGCGUGUAUGAAGAAGGCCUUCGGGUUGUAAAGUACUUUCAGUCGUGAGGAAGGUGUUAAGGUUAAUAACCUUAGCAAUUGACGUUAGCGACAGAAGAAGCACCGGCUAACUCCGUGCCAGCAGCCGCGGUAAUACGGAGGGUGCGAGCGUUAAUCGGAAUUACUGGGCGUAAAGGGCACGCAGGCGGUUAAUUAAGUUGGAUGUGAAAUCCCCGGGCUUAACCUGGGAAUGGCAUUCAAGACUGGUUAGCUAGAGUCUUGUAGAGGGGGUAGAAUUCCAUGUGUAGCGGUGAAAUGCGUAGAGAUGUGGAGGAAUACCGGGUGGCGAAGGCGGCCCCUGGGACAAAGACUGACGCUCAUGUGCGAAAGCGUGGGGAGCAAACGAGGAUUAGAUA
Molecule: ribosomal RNA, 453 nt
Filed under: uncultured bacterium
Lineage: Bacteria
Description: bacterial SSU rRNA
Rfam family: Bacterial small subunit ribosomal RNA
Source: RNAcentral